This 1112-nucleotide ribosomal RNA is filed under the name Fissuroma caryotae. Its description in RNAcentral is "SSU rRNA". It matches the Rfam family "Eukaryotic small subunit ribosomal RNA", at positions 55 to 1175 of the family's 1831-position model. Lineage: Eukaryota; Fungi; Ascomycota; Dothideomycetes; Pleosporales; Aigialaceae. The record is from RNAcentral.
AUGUCUAAGUAUAAGCAAAUUAUACCGUGAAACUGCGAAUGGCUCAUUAAAUCAGUUAUCGUUUAUUUGAUAGUACCUUACUACUUGGAUAACCGUGGUAAUUCUAGAGCUAAUACAUGCUGAAAACCCCGACUUCGGGAGGGGUGUAUUUAUUAGAUAAAAAACCAAUGCCCUUCGGGGCUCUUUGGUGAUUCAUGAUAACUCAACGGAUCGCAUGGCCUUGCGCCGGCGACGGUUCAUUCAAAUUUCUGCCCUAUCAACUUUCGAUGGUAAGGUAUUGGCUUACCAUGGUUUCAACGGGUAACGGGGAAUUAGGGUUCGGUUCCGGAGAGGGAGCCUGAGAAACGGCUACCACAUCCAAGGAAGGCAGCAGGCGCGCAAAUUACCCAAUCCCGACACGGGGAGGUAGUGACAAUAAAUACUGAUACAGGGCUCUUUUGGGUCUUGUAAUUGGAAUGAGUACAAUUUAAACCCCUUAACGAGGAACAAUUGGAGGGCAAGUCUGGUGCCAGCAGCCGCGGUAAUUCCAGCUCCAAUAGCGUAUAUUAAAGUUGUUGCAGUUAAAAAGCUCGUAGUUGAACCUUGGGCCUGGCUGGCCGGUCCGCCUCACCGCGUGCACUGGUCCGGCCGGGCCUUUCCUUCUGGAGAGCCCCAUGCCCUUCACUGGGUGUGCGGGGGAACCAGGACUUUUACUUUGAAAAAAUUAGAGUGUUCAAAGCAGGCCUUUGCUCGAAUACAUUAGCAUGGAAUAAUAGAAUAGGACGUGCGGUCCUAUUUUGUUGGUUUCUAGGACCGCCGUAAUGAUUAAUAGGGAUAGUCGGGGGCAUCCGUAUUCAAUUGUCAGAGGUGAAAUUCUUGGAUUUAUUGAAGACGAACUACUGCGAAAGCAUUUGCCAAGGAUGUUUUCAUUAAUCAGUGAACGAAAGUUAGGGGAUCGAAGACGAUCAGAUACCGUCGUAGUCUUAACCGUAAACUAUGCCGACUAGGGAUCGGGCGAUGUUACUAUUUUGACUCGCUCGGCACCUUACGAGAAAUCAAAGUUUUUGGGUUCUGGGGGGAGUAUGGUCGCAAGGCUGAAACUUAAAGAAAUUGACGGAAGGGCACCACCAGGC